UGACCUGACUGCCCGGUGGCCUGAGAAUCCUGCAGGAUGGCCCAAGACUCCACCUCACACAGACACGCGUGCUCCACAGGACCAGUCUGGGUUAGAGCAGUGCCAGCCCUGACUGCUGCCACGUCUGCGUGCGUCUUCCUCCGGGCCUCCAGACAUCACCCUCGGGAAGUGCCAUGACGGUGGGCUUGCAUUUUCAAGCAGUAAUUGGCUAUCAAGUCCCCUGUGAAUCUGUUUCGAGAAUAAAAGAAUCUUAAAAAGCCAAGGUUCAUCCUGGGAGCUGGAGUCUUUGUCUCGCCUCCUGCCCCCGUUUUGGAGAGUGUUCCCGUCCGCGUCGUCCUCUGUGGGAAAUGGAUUGUUAUCAAGAGGGCAGGCACUGGAGAGGCCCUUCAAGGGCAGCAGACAAAACACAGCCUUUCAGGGUGAGAAAGAGGAUUUAUGGGUGAAACGCAGCUAUUCCAAGGCUCCUCAAUAAAGAUAUACAACCUGAACAAAAGCAUCCCGACUCCACUGCUGUGGAAGUGGUAUACUCUAAGUCUUCACGUGUCUUCUUCAGAUCUCGUAACAGUGCUUUCACUACACAAAAUCUGACGCUCAGCCACUCUGACCACACCAGGAUGCCGAAAUGCCCAAGCUUCAGUGUCGCCGGCUGCCUGUCCAGCUGCCCGCACUGCAGCGCCAGAGAGCAGCUGUCAUCUGAGGUUAAAUCCUGGUUUGCUGCAGUGCACACCUGCAUUGCCUCGCUCACAUGUUUACAAUUUCUUGCUCAGAAUUUUCUUUUCAGCUGAAGCAUGGCCUUGACCCGAGCAGGAAGCGGGGGCAGGCGGCCAGGAGGCCUGUGAAAGGGCUUCCCCGUGGCCUUUCCAACCAUGAAAGCUGUUACUCCACAGGUAACAGCUCUGGGAAGAGCUCUGUCAUCUUCAGGAUAAGUCCAUCCCAAGCUUCAGUUCAAGUUCCUGCAUGGAAAGAAUGCUGCACUCCUAAUCAGCAAACAUUUCUUUUGGGGCAUAUACGGAACACUGACGAACUCUGGCCAUGGCCACAUACUGAACCUCGAAG
Bos taurus (domestic cattle) is the source of this 1056-nucleotide long non-coding RNA. The record is from Ensembl. Lineage: Eukaryota; Metazoa; Chordata; Mammalia; Artiodactyla; Bovidae.